This 254-nucleotide ribosomal RNA is filed under the name uncultured bacterium. RNAcentral's name for it is "partial 16S ribosomal RNA". It matches the Rfam family "Bacterial small subunit ribosomal RNA", at positions 524 to 776 of the family's 1533-position model. The record is from RNAcentral.
UACGUAGGGUGCGAGCGUUGUCCGGAAUUAUUGGGCGUAAAGAGCUCGUAGGCGGUGUGUCGCGUCGGCCGUGAAAACCAGGGGCUCAACUCUGGGCGUGCGGUCGAUACGGGCAUCACUUGAGUUCGGCAGGGGAGACUGGAAUUCCUGGUGUAGCGGUGAAAUGCGCAGAUAUCAGGAGGAACACCGGUGGCGAAGGCGGGUCUCUGGGCCGAUACUGACGCUGAGGAGCGAAAGCAUGGGUAGCGAACAGG